UACAGGGGGUGCAAACGUUGCUCGGAAUUAUUGGGCGUAAAGCGCGCGUAGGCGGCUACUUAUGUCGGAUGUGAAAGCCCUUGGCUCAACUGAGGAAGUGCACCCGAAACUGAGUAGCUGGAGUACGAAAGAGGGUCGCGGAAUUCCCGGUGUAGAGGUGAAAUUCGUAGAUAUCGGGAGGAACACCGGUGGCGAAGGCGGCGACCUGGGUCGAUACUGACGCUGAUGCGCGAAAGCGUGGGGAGCAAACAGG
RNAcentral lists this ribosomal RNA (253 nucleotides) under uncultured bacterium. RNAcentral describes it as "partial 16S ribosomal RNA". It matches the Rfam family "Bacterial small subunit ribosomal RNA", at positions 524 to 776 of the family's 1533-position model. The record is from RNAcentral.